UAGUGCAGUAUAAAUAACAUUAGAUUUGGGACCAUAUGGACUAUGUCCUAUCCCACCCACCCAUGUUUUCACCUUGGGCAAAUCAACCUAGCUUCUCUAAGCCUCAGUCUUCCCAUCCCUAAAAUGGAGGAAAUAAUUAUCUCCAGAGUCUUAGUGAGAAAUGGAUGACGUAUAUACAGUGUCUACCAAUCUUGCCCAUUGUUGGUGCUCAGCAAAUGCCAGAAAAUGUUAAUACAGUAGCUACUCUUACCCACAGGGUAUACAUUUCAAGAACCCCAGGGGAUACGUUCCAAGAACCCCGGGGGAUGCCUGAAACCAUGAAUAGUAGUGAACCCUAUAUAUACCCUGUUUUUUUCCUAUACAGACAUACCUAUGAUAAAGUUUAAUUUAUUUUUUUAAAAAAGUUUAAUUUAUAAAUUAGACACAGUAAGAGAUUAACAACAAUAAAAUGGGACAAUUAUAACAAUAUACUAUAAUAAAAGUUAUGUGAAUGUGGUCUCUCUUUGUCAAAAUAUCUUAUUAUACUCACCCUUCCUCCUGUGAUAAUGUGAGAUGAUAAAAUGGCUGCGUGAUGAGAUGAGGUGAGGUGAAUGACGUAGGUGUUGUGACAUAGCGUUAGGCCACUACUGACUUCCUGGUGGCAUAUCAGAAGGAGCAUCUUCUGCCUCCAGACCAUGGCUGACUGGGUAACUAUAAAUAAAACCAUGGAUAAGGAGGACUACUGUAUAGAUUCUUAGUGAGUGUUUUGCUCUACUAAAAUUUCUUUACUCUUCCUGAUGAAAAGUCACUAUAUUUUGGGGUAUCUUAGACUCUUCAGGGAUAAAAAGAGGUUUGAUGUGAGUGUCUGUAAAUAUACUAGACAAUUAUACUCAUCUCCCCAUGCAAUGUGAUAGAUGGUGGCUCAUUAGCUAAGCUACUGGGCCUGGCAAAUCACAAGAUUCUAAAGAAAUAGUAGAUAGAAGAAGCACAAAUUAGGUAUCAGGGCUUGAUACCCAGGAAGAUUAGGGUAGGCCUCAUAUGGGCUGCAAGGGACCUUAGGGACCAUUUAACUCAGGCUCCUAAUAGCGGAUUACAAAAGACUGAAACCAAAGACAUUGAGUAACUGUUCUGAGACCCUUGACAGCAGAGCAUGGGUCCCAUUUUUCUUCCCUUUCCUUUUUCUUGUUUCCUAGAAGUUCUGAAGGCAGAUGGCAAUGAAUAUUUCAGAAACACUGAGCUUCGGAAGUCAGAAGACUUGAAUUUCUGAGCUCAACUCCUCUCCCUAACUGUAGGACAUGACUACUCAUGUUCCAACCCAGAAUGAUUCUGUAGCACUAAGACUCCAGUUCAGGAUCUGAGGUGGAAAGAAGGAAGGGUGGGCAAAAUCUUUGUGCAAGUUUGUGCAACAGAUUUUAAUUGGUUGUUUAGUGAUUGACUGAACUCUGUCACAAAGGUGGCCCAUACGAAAUGAGAUUCAGAAGCCAGAUGUCAAAAAAAAAAAAAAAAAAAAAACAGAAGCCAGAUGUCUCCUGGUAUAAUUUAGAGAAAGAAAUUAGAGUCGUGGACAUAGAGAAAUGUUGGAGCACAAUUACUAUGUAGAGAACACCUAACCAUUCCCUAAACACAUCUGAGAGAACCAAAAAGAAACACCUCUCACCAAGCCUUGAGUAGUGAAAAAAGAAUCAGUAUCUUUGAAAAAUGCUCAAGUUUCAAUUUGUGAAGACCACAGAUAAUGACAGAAGGCCCUGUAGCUGAAUGGCCUUCUUGAGUUCAUGGAGAAUUUGGGGGGCAGUGGUCCCAUAGCUGCCCUUAGCCCUCCCCACAGGCAAUGAGUGUGCAUUCAGAAUAAGCAACCUUGUAGGGCGCUGCCCUAGGGGUCUGACCUUUGAUCCACAGGGUGUCUACCCUUCCUGUCCCUCAGUUUCUUCUUUCGUAAAAUAAAGCCACAUUUCUGGGGCACCUGGGUGGCUCAUCGGUUAUGCAUCCGACUUUUAAUUUUGGCUCAGGUCAUGAUCUCAGGAUUCGGGGAUUGAGCCCCAUGGCAGGCUCCACACUCAAAACAGAGUCUGCUUGAGAUCCUCUCUCUCCCUCUGCCCCUCCCUCUGUGUGCACACAUAUUCUCUCUUUCAAAUCAAUCAAUCAAUCAAUCAAUCAAUCAAUCAAUCUUUAAAGUAAGCUGAUCUUACUUUAAUCGCGUCAAUAAUCUGAAUUCCCUUUGCCAUGGAACCUAACAUUAUCAUAGAUUCUGGGGUCCAGAGACAUGGAAGGGGGCAUUAUUUUGUUUAUCACAUCCAACAAUUAGGUGUACCACUUUAGGCAAUCACUUAACUAUAUUUCUCAGUUUCCUCAUGUGUGUGGCUGACGUGCUGCAAUAAUUAAAUGAGACAAAUGCACGUCAGGCCCUUAGCACAGUUGCUAGAGCACAAUAAGCACUCAGUCUGUAGUGUUCUCUUUCCUUCCUCAAAAAUAAACACAUAUACGAUGUAGAACUCCAAAGCAUGUAUCGUAUCCUGAACCACAGUGCCCUAAAAUGCUGCUUACGGCUACAUCUUGGCAUUCUUUUUUUAAAUUUAACUUUAUUUAUGUAUUUAUUUAUUUAAUUUAUUUUUUUUUAGUGGGCUCUACCCCCAUCAUAAAGCUUGAACUCACAACGUCUAGAUCUAGCUCUAGAUCAAGGGCUGUAUGCUUUACCAACUGAGCCAGCCAGGCACCCCCAAUCCUGGCAUUCCUAAUGGAGGGGCAGCAAAGACUGAGAGCCUGCCUUGUGCCCAGGUCACAUGCUCCUUCCCCGCACUCCGGACAGCCCAUGCACACCACCCUCGAGGUUUUUGGCACUUGGCAGUGAUUGUCCUGGAAAGGAAGUACUCUCGUGGUAUCCUCGGGGGGACAAAUGAAUCACUGAGUGUGGGCCUGGCAAAUAGUUCAUCCUUCUAUGAAUGGUGACAGAUAUUCAAAGAGAAACAGUGCUCAGUGCCCAGUGACUUACCUCGGACACAAAGGAAAUACCAGUGAUACUUAUUGUUCUGAGCACCCUCACAUUCCCAAUGUCCAUUGAGCCUCCAAUUCUGGGAAGUGGGCAGGGAGGCCACCAUCGGGGGUUGCUGGGGAAAUUGAGGAACAUAAGGUAGAGGACUUGACCACGGUGACACAGCCUACCAGGUCUGGCAUCCCGACCUCCACCCCUGGAGCUCUCCACCUCUGCUGGGCCUGCCCUAGCCUUCUCCCAGCCACUGAACAGCAAAGGGGGUGAGUUGGCCUCUCUUAGGUUACAUCCCCUUCUCCACUUGGCCUCCUCCUCUGCCCCAACCUCCAGCCAGGAGAGUUGCCACAGAGCCAUUUCUGACCACGUACCUGGGUAGCAUCUCUUCCUCCUUCACCAGGCUUCUUCUGCCCGUUGCCCCCCAGCACUCCACUGGGUACUUAAUUACACUCAGUCUCCUACAGGUGGCUGGUCCUGGUUUGAUUCUGCUCUGUCCUAAUUCCUUGGGUUGAACUAAAUUAGUGAAAAGAGGAGAGAGAAGUAGGUAAUCCUCCAUUUUAGGGGUUCUUACCUUGGGCGUAAUCCUCCCCAGCACCCAGAAAAUCUGUAAAAGUUGUGGGGGGUGCAUUUCGGGAUAUUACAAUGGGUUGAGGGAGUCCCUGCAUUCCACAGGUGGAGUGGGGUGCUGAUCAUCCUGCAAGAUGAGGGACAGCUCCCUCCCCACGUGACAGCAAAGAACUGUCCCAUACACAGUGCCAUGAGCGCCCCACUGAGAACCUGGGCUCUGAUCGGACAAUCAGCUCUCAUUCGGACUGUUAGAACCACUUCUAUUCGGUGAUGAUGAUUGUGACUUAUAACUCUUCCUCAGGCGACCAAAGCUGUUAAAGGUUAAGAAGAGCUUGUUGUUGUUGUUGUUUUUCAUGAAAUGGCUGAUUCGCAGCUCAUCACUAGGUAGCAUGGUGUAGCAGACAGAGAUCUCGGGUGAAAACAGCCACCAGGAGCACAGAUUCUGAAGCCACGCUGCCGGGGUGAUGUUGUGGCUUUGCCAUUUACAAGCUUUAGGGUCUUGGCAGGUUAGUCUUUCUGUGUCUCAGCUCUUACUACUUUUUAUAAAUUAGGUACAACUUAGCUACCCGGUUUUGUUAGGCUUGGCACAUAGUAAGAGUUACUGAAUGUUAAAUAUCAUUAUUAAAAUCAUUGCCAUCUAUGGGACCUGGGGCAAGAUAUUUCUCAGCUCUGUGUCUGUUUCUUCUCAUGAGAAUAGAGAUAAUAAUACCUACUUCAAAGUGUUUUUAUAGGAUCUAAUGAGAAAACAUGUGUAAAGGGCAAAUAUAGCACAGAUGAUGCUCGUCACAACUUCAUGAAGGUGUUACCCCCAUUUUACAGGUAAGGAAACUGAGGCUUACAGAGGUUAGGUAACUUGGCCACAGAUACACCACUAUCUGGGAUUUGAACCAAGGCUAUUUGGGUCUAGAUCUACUGUGUCCAACCACCAUACCCUAUAGCUGCUUUUCCCAAGGAAGCAGCUUAGAACAACACUUGGUAGCUUAUGAGUAUCCCUGGCUGGCAAAGAGACAGUUCUGACCCUUAGCUGGGCCCUCGGCCAGGUAGCCGGUGGCAGGAUGCCCAUCUCUCUUCCCCAAGUGACAGUGUUAUGUGAGGGAGUGGCUAGGAAUCCAGAAUCCAGAAACCUGGAAUCUGGUUCUUGCUCUCUUGUUUCCAUGGCAUCCAUGCGCAGGUCUGGCAACCAUGCAGGGCUUUGGUUUCCUUCAGGAGAAGGAGGUUAAGGGCCCAGAGAUGUUACAGUGAUGAGAGGCUGGAGAAAGGGCAUACCUUGGUGUCCCACUAUCUCUGUUAGCGGGAGCAUCUUCCUGGGAUGUGACUUUCAACAGAGCCAGUUUGAGGCAAAACCUCUGGUUUCUCCUUGGACUAUGCACAAAAGCGAGGGGGCUCCUGCAACAUCAAAGGGAAUCAAUCAACAAAGUGAUACAGGGGCAUCCUCUCGAGGACCAGGCAACAGAGGAUGAAUGUUCUAAAAGGCAAGGGGAGAGCACUCCCAUGGAUUAAGCACCUAGUGUGUACAAAGAAGCUCACACUCCUGGUCUUGCUCUGGCCCCACAUCAACCACAAUGAAGAGUGUUGGGGUUGGGGUGGAGGCAGUGAGGGACAGUGGUUAUCAGAUUAAGGCAAUAUGGCCAAGACUUAUUACAGUCAGACAGGCAUGGGGCCAGGUCCCAACUUUGACACUUAGGAAGAGCUGAAUGCCCUCAACGAGAUGUCUAAUCUCACUGUGCCUCAGUUUCUUCUUUUGUAAAAUAAAGCCACAUCCCUAAAAAUUUACUGAAAGAUGAUACAUGUAGAGUGCUCACCACAGCACCUGGCUCAUGACCACAUCUAGAUAAAUGGUAGUUAUUAUUGGCUACAAUUAUGGGAUUGUAAUGGCUGAACACUAAGGAGAUGAAGGGGGGGGGGGCUUAUUUUUCCUUCCACUUCCGUCUCUCCCAAAUACUAAUUUUAUUUAUCAUUUUAAGCCCACAGUGCAUUUGUAACAAGUGCCAGGGCUUUUGGUCUUCUCACUAAGCUAUAUUGACUCUUGCAAGAAGGGAAGUAUAUUAAAUUAACAUUACUGAUGUGUUGUGAUGGUAAAAAGAUAUUGAUGCUCCUGGCCAGAGGGCCACAGUUGGAGAAUCGCUGAGCUAGACCAACAAGAGGACAGAUCUGUAUCCUUCCUGUGGAUUUCUUUUUCUUGGAGAAAGUGGUUUAUUUGUUUUCACUGAGUCACCUAAUGAGGCUGCAUGGGUUGUGCUACUAUCUCUGGUUGAGUAGCCUGAGAACAGGGUUAGAGACAAUACCUGAAAUAGAGCCCAGUCUGGGGUGCAGAGGGUAGGGGACCCAGGGCCCACUUAGGAAGUAGGUUCCUCGUCUACACGGUGUCAGGGCUGUCCCUGUCCACUUGCCUCACCCGUACAAUACUCUCCUCCCAGGGCCUGCAGGGCUUUCUUCAGAGUUGGGCUGACUCACCUCCCAGGGCAGAGCCGGGGCCAUGGGCACUCGCUGGCAACCUAGGGUAAUUUGACACUGUACUCAAAUAGACACUUGGAAGAAUAGACCCCUCUUUUUUUCAUGGUAGCUCUUGGCAGGUGGGGGUGACCUGCACGCUGCAGACACUGCUGAGGUCUGGACAGCCUGGUGAUUUGGCCAGGUACUCUGCUCUCUCGGGUCUGACACUGCCUGUUGCCUCUGCACAUGGCAUUUGAUGGCACUUGUUAACUUCGCAUCAGAUGUCAAUGUUGUUUUGAUGUUCCAUUCCUCUGUCACCUCCUGUCCCAGGCUCAACCACCUGAAAUAGCUUGGCACUUCUGGAUAUCUUCCCUAGAGAUAACUCUGACUAACUGUCUCCCCAUAACCCCCCCACACCCUCACCCCAUCCCUCUGGCCAGUGUGUCAGUGAGCAUGUGAGAGGACUGAUGUUUUUCAUAUACUCCCUGGGGCCUUGGUGGUGGUGGUAAACCAUUUCAGCAAUAGAGAUUCGUUUUGCUGGAGAACGAUGUGACAUCCCAGUGAAUGCCAGUCACAAGGGAAGAUUCCCAUUGUGUGGGGCAGAGUUGUAACCCUUCACAUUUAUGGCAGGUCCUCCCCUCUGGAGUCCUGGGCACAGCUCUGCCAUCAGCCAGAACAGUAGGGCUCUGCAUCUGGCAGGAUUCUUUCUGCAGAAUCAUAGAUAAGCUGUUCCCUUUUUAUUUCCAGCACUGCAAAGAAAUGACAAAAUCCAGGGCCAGAGUUUGCACAGACUAAAUAGAGCUGGCAAAGAUCUGAGAGCUCAUAGAGCCAAAGGGUGGCAAAUAAGUUUUAUUCUGUACCAAUUGCUAAGGGUUGCAUGACGCUCUGCAUUAGAAGCCCAAUGUGAGCUCAGGGGGAAACAGUGUCCUGAUUUUAUUUUAUUUAUUUAUUUUUUUAGUGCCCUGAUUUUAUAAUCAUGUCUGUCUUGCGCAUAGGAUGGGAGGGUAGCCAUUCAUGCGUCAUACAGUGUAUUGCUAUCGCUAACCCCGCUCGAUUUAUGGAACAGGAAACUCAGUCCCAAAAGGAUGAAAAGAGCUUUCCCAGUUCACAUAACUUGUUAGUGGUAGAUUUAAGACAAGGACCCAGGUUUUUAACAGGAAUUCAGUACAUUUCCAUUCUCAUAGGAAUAGUGUCCAUGGACAUAAGUAAGCCUGAGUUCAAAUACCGAGUCAUCAUUUAUCAGCUUUGUGACCUUGGGCUAUCAUUUAACACCUCUGUGCUUCCGUUUCCUCCUUUGUAAAUGGAAUAAAAUCAUCCACCUCCUUAUUGGGAAAAUUUAGUGUGACAAUGGUAUGUGUAGCUCAAAGCCUUAUGCUUCAAUGUUUAAUUUCUUUAUUUUUUUUCCAACAGAAAAUGAUAUGCAUCAUUAAGAUGACAUCCUUAGGGGUAGUUUGCACACCAUGGCAGUGAUUUAAUUGUGUAAUUGUAGAUCUGGUGUGUUCCCUUGUGAAUUCAGGGUUUGGGAUUAGAUUAUCUUCAAGUUUCUUCCAGCUUAAGAAUUGCUAUGAUUGUAAAUAAAUAACUUUGAAGGGUUUUUCUUGAGUUAUUUCUGUAAGCAGGUAUUUGGUAAAUGAGCCCUAGAAGAUUUUCUGGAGUCAAACCAAGGUCUUUGCAGGUGCAGAAACCAUUUGCAGCAUUCUAAUGUUUUCUGUGUUGUGCAGCUCAUGGCCUGAAACCUUGGUACAUCACACUCCGUUGUACUAAUGGCUUUCCUUCCCGGUUGCCUGCCGGGGAUGGGAGCCUUGCAAGGACAGGAACUGGUGUGCAUCAUUGUGGUGUCCCAGAACCCCACACAGGGCUUGGUUGCUCAGCCCAAGGUGGUUGGCUUCAUCUCUGGGGUUUGAGGAAGGGUGUUCAAGGCUUAGCCAUGGCUAGGGACUGGGAACUUGCAAAGUCCAGAACUGAAUGAACCUGGAACUCAAGGACUUUUGUCCCAUUACUUCCUUCACAGCCUCUUGACUUUUCCAUACAUGAAACAGGGAAGCUGCUGAGUGAUCGCUCUGCCCUAGAGGCAGGAGCUGAAGAGGCAAUUCAAAAAAUCUGCUGCUCCUGUGGCAGGGAACUUGUUGAAGCCACAAGACAUUGGUAUGAGCAGCUGUACCUCCUCUGAGAGCCAUUUUGGGUUAACCAAAGCAUUCUGCCCAUAGGAGGAAGGCAGGGAGUGAGGAGAGAAUCAGGGCCAGAGGGCCUGGCUCAAGUGAGAUUUAUAAAUAGGAACAUGGAAACUCACAGAAGAAGCCAAGCAAGGCAAAGGAGAAUGGGCAGGUCUCAGUGAGACCAUUCUAAGACGUAAAUAGCUAAUGAGCGAGAAGCCAAACUUCUUGGAGACUCUUUGGGGGCCAAUAUGUAACUGUUUCCCUAGACUGGGAUCACAGAAGCACCCAGAGGGACGAAAGAAAGUUUUGAUGCUUACACUGUUCAUUCAUUUAUUCAAGCAAUGUGUACUCCCGCCCCAUGUACACGUGCUAGAUACAGGGGGAAAGAAUCAUAAUUAAGGCAUUGUCUUAAUUAACCUGUUUCCAGGUUGCCAGAAAUUUAACCAGAGAGGAAGACUCAUAUAUAGCUUACUGAGGCAGUUGCAAUUACCACUACGCCCUGCACAUCUUGCUUUGUAUUAUAUUGUGUUUCUCAUGGUGGAGAAACCAUGGAGAGAUUUUUUCUGACUGAACUCUUUGGCUCCUCCUUGGAAAUGCAUCCCCCUCUUUGUGGGGUAUUGUCCCCAGCCUAUCCUAACCU
Molecule: long non-coding RNA, 8755 nt
Filed under: Canis lupus familiaris (dog)
Lineage: Eukaryota; Metazoa; Chordata; Mammalia; Carnivora; Canidae
Description: lncRNA (ENSCAFG00845011321.1)
Source: RNAcentral